CAUAUCUCUCUCAGCCAUUAAUAACAUCCAGGAUUGCAUCUACACAUUACGCCGGAGAUGAGUUUGCGAGGAUUGCAUCGGAGAUGAUGGGAAUAAGUUUAUGGGUUUUGUUCCAGUUUUUUAAUGUCAUUCAUAGUAAGGUCACAUAUUUGAUGAUUUGCUUAAAUGAAGACUUGGAUUUUUAUUAUUGAACUUGAAGAUUUACAUAUAUAAAUAGUAUAUUUACAUAAUGGUAUAUUUACA
Molecule: long non-coding RNA, 243 nt
Filed under: Helianthus annuus (common sunflower)
Lineage: Eukaryota; Viridiplantae; Streptophyta; Magnoliopsida; Asterales; Asteraceae
Description: sRNA HanXRQr2_Chr09g0413541
Source: RNAcentral